UACAGAGGGUGCGAGCGUUAAUCGGAAUUACUGGGCGUAAAGGGUGUGUAGGUGGCGCGCUAAGUCGGGUGUGAAAUUUCGGAGCUUAACUCCGAAACUGCAUUCGAUACUGGCGUGCUUGAGGACUGGAGAGGAGACUGGAAUUCAUGGUGUAGCAGUGAAAUGCGUAGAGAUCAUGAGGAAGACCAGUGGCGAAGGCGGGUCUCUGGACAGUUCCUGACACUGAGACACGAAGGCCAGGGGAGCAAACGGG
RNAcentral lists this ribosomal RNA (253 nucleotides) under uncultured bacterium. Its description in RNAcentral is "partial 16S ribosomal RNA". It matches the Rfam family "Bacterial small subunit ribosomal RNA", at positions 524 to 776 of the family's 1533-position model. The record is from RNAcentral.